GACGAACGCUGGCGGCGCGCCUAACACAUGCAAGUCGAGCGAUGAAAUUUUAACCGAUCUCUUCGGAGAGAAGAUAAAAUGGAUUAGCGGCGGACGGGUGAGUAACACGUGAGAAACCUGCCUUUCACAAGGGGAUAGCCUCGGGAAACCGGGAUUAAUACCCUAUGACACAUUUCCUUCGCAUGGAAGAAAUGUUAAAACUCCGGUGGUGAAAGAUGGUCUCGCGCCUGAUUAGCUAGUUGGUGGGGUAACGGCCCACCAAGACCAUGAUCAGUAACCGGCCUGAGAGGGUGAACGGUCACAUUGGAACUGAGACACGGUCCAAACUCCUACGGGAGGCAGCAGUGGGGAAUAUUGCACAAUGGAGGAAACUCUGAUGCAGCGACGCCGCGUGAGCGAUGAAGGCUUUCGAGUCGUAAAGCUCUGUCCUAUGGGAAGAUAAUGACGGUACCAUAGGAGGAAGCCCCGGCUAACUACGUG
RNAcentral lists this ribosomal RNA (480 nucleotides) under uncultured bacterium. RNAcentral's name for it is "partial 16S ribosomal RNA". It matches the Rfam family "Bacterial small subunit ribosomal RNA", at positions 28 to 507 of the family's 1533-position model. The record is from RNAcentral.